GGAAUUUUGCGCAAUGGGCGAAAGCCUGACGCAGCAACACCGCGUGUAGGAUGAAGGUUCUCGGAUCGUAAACUACUGUCAGCAGGGAAUAAAAAUGACUGUACCUGCAGAGGAAGCAUCGGCUAACUACGUGCCAGCAGCCGCGGUAAGACGUAGGAUGCAAGCGUUGUCCGGAAUUAUUGGGCGUAAAGAGUUCGUAGGCGGUUACUUAAGUCUGAUGUUAAAUACUGGAGCUCAACUCCAGCAUGGCAUUGGAAACUGGGUGGCUAGAGUGCGGUAGAGGUCUCGGGAAUUCCAGGUGUAGCGGUGAAAUGCGUAGAUAUCUGGAGGAACACCGGUGGCGAAAGCGCGAGACUGGGCCGUAACUGACGCUGAGGAACGAAAGCUAGGGUAGCGAAA
This 399-nucleotide ribosomal RNA is filed under the name uncultured bacterium. Its description in RNAcentral is "bacterial SSU rRNA". It matches the Rfam family "Bacterial small subunit ribosomal RNA", at positions 358 to 773 of the family's 1533-position model. The record is from RNAcentral.